UAGAAGGAUGAGGCAGGAGGA
Molecule: non-coding RNA, 21 nt
Filed under: Mus musculus (house mouse)
Lineage: Eukaryota; Metazoa; Chordata; Mammalia; Rodentia; Muridae
Source: RNAcentral